GCCUCUCUGCCGCUACAGUUAAAUCAAAGCAGCAGGAAAAGCUUAUACAACAACCUUCAAGUGUCAGCCUCUGAAAAUAGUCUGUUAACAUUAGCUGAGUUUUCCCACCGUUUAAAAUGGCUCAGUGUUUGGAGUGGAUCCAUGUUGUUUGUGUUUAUGCCCUUACGUUUCCUUUGGUGGAGACUUUACAGUACGUGACAUGGACGAGAAACAUGUGCCACUAAGUGCUCGGGUGCGCGCGGGCGUCUCUGUGUGUGAGGAUGUAUUGUCUCUGCGGUUAAUGACUGUUCGAUAUUGAUUGCAGCUGGAACGUCCCAGUCACAUGUUCCCCGUCCUCUCCAGAUAACGAGGGUUAACCACUUGACCCCGUGCAUGCCAAAGGGGCUCGGCUCAUACCUGGACGCGCAGCCCCGGCUCAAGCCGCGUCUCCCACAGCACUACCGAGGCCACGGGCCUCUGGUCUCCGGGCUGGGCCUGUAGAUCACAGUCGUGUCAUGGAGCCACGACUAAAGGGAAAUGUGCCAGACUUCAUUAAGGGCAGAUUAAAAGCGAGAGGAGGGCGUUUUAACCGUGAUUUACUUCCCCUGUGAGGUUGCUGGACGAAUUACGAGCCCGCAGCGGCUUCAUCCUGGAACCAUGAUGUCAUACUUUCAGUGUUUGCUAAGUGUAAAUAUCAGAUUGGGAAGGAACUAUGUGCUCGACAGCAGGGUUCAUCUUGGAUUCAGAGAGAAGAAAACAAAAGCGACAGCAAAUGUCUCUCCGUUCUCCAUUUACGAGCUGUUCAUAUAGACAUUCAUGGCCCACAGAGGAGGAAUGGCGAUCACCUGACAUUUCUUUUAACACCAGCAGGAGCAUCUUUAAGGAAAAAGUCUUCAAAGCAAUUGGAUAUACUGCAAUAAUAUCUGCUACGCGCUCGUGUUCCCUAAAGCGGGAUAGAAAUACUCUAGUAAUCCUUUCACGUGUGUCUGUGCCAAUAUCCAGUCAAAAUUUCAAUUAAUCCAGUACUUUGGGUUACAACUUAAUAACUGCUAAAGUGGUGACGUUCUUAAUCAGCCUCAGCUGAACUUUGCAACACUAAAAGUGAGAGGGUGAAUAAGCAGGACACCUACUUGGCAUCUGCCUGGUCAUUAUAAGCGUGUCAGCGUGUUAGUAGGUGUUUUGAAUUGUGAUUUGACCGCAUUCUGACGCAUUUGAUCAAGUAAAUAUAUUAAAUGAAUAAAAGCAUGAUUACAGUGCUGUGCAAAGGUGUUGAGCUACCCCUGAUUUCGUUAUAUUUUGCUUCCAAGGAGCCAGACUUUCCUGUAAUAUUUUAAAGUGGUCUUGAGCCACAGUUCUCCAGGUUUGCGAAGGUCAUUCCAAGCUUUUCUUUGGACACUGACUGCUUUUUAACUCAUUUUCAGUCCAGUCCUUGUACCGGACUACUUUCCAAGGAAGCUUUUGUUUGUUUGUCUGUUUGUUUGUUUCUUAAGCCACUCAACACUGACCUGAUCUAUAAAUCAUUCAAGCUCUUAAAGCAAAAAGCCACUUAACUUGUGAACCAGUGUUGUGUCUGCACAUAACAGACAAUUUGGCCAAGAACCAAUUUUAAAUUGUAUCUUUUGACCUUUAUUACUGGCAGCUUUUUGCACAAACACAUAAUUAGUUUAGCUGAAUCUGUGAAAAACAGUUUGACCGACAUAAAAAGAUAUUUUUGCACCAACAAGGUGAUUCUUAAGGAGCUAUUAGAUGAAAUGUUGGUAUAUUGUGACAUGGUGUGUAGCGUGGCCUUAAAAAUUUUGAGGAAACUAGACAAGUGGAGACAAAAGAAGAGGCAGCAGACCUAAAAAAACCCUACAGCAGACGAGGAGUAUCUGUACGACUGUUGAUGGAACAGUCUCAGUAGAAGGGUAGGUGUCAUUUAGGCAUUCUUAAGGAAGACGAAGGGGCUGAGGUGUGCUAAAUUAUACAAGAACUGGACUGAAAAUCAGAUGGAACAUGUUGUAGGAGGUCGAAAGAGAGGUACAACAGCGAGUGUCAUCUGAUAUUGAGCCCAAACACACUAAAAAAGCAGUAAAAGCAUACCUGGAUAACCAGCUGAUAAACAGCUGCACUGAAAUAAAUAAUGUGAGGUUCAAGAUUUUUACACAUUACUACCAAUCAGCGAUGAAAAAACCCCUUAGACAUGGGCGUUCUCCAUUUUGAAAUGUGUGUGCAUGAGCUGCUGUGAUAUGAAAGUACAUUCAGGCUAUUUAUGGAAGCACUAAUCACAGCCACCUAUACACAUUAACACAAUGACCUCAUUCCUUGAAAAUGCCAGUAUCUCAUAGGUAGCUGUAGGAAGGGUGAAAACACACUUAAAUGGGUCCUCCAUGAUCUGAGUGAACAUGAAAGCUAAGCUCAAUACACUCCUUGUUGCACAGACGACUUUUUGUUUAUGUAAAGGCAUGUGGACAGACAGUCAUCUUUCACAUAUUGUAGUGAAUAUAACAUUUUUGUCUUUUGAAAUCUAUAUAUACUAUUGUAAAAGAUUAAUUUUGAUCAUUCCUAGGACAAAUCUAUGGAUAAUGUUUUGCUGGGCUAACAAACCUCUACAACAAUAAUAUGGUAUAUGCAUCACCAUCCUCACGAACUGUUGGCCCUAUGUGUGGCAGUCCACAAAGUUGUACACAGGUGGCAUCUGUCCAUGACCACCUGAUUGGUCGUUAAAGCAUCAGGCAUCCAAGAUGGCAACUCUGUGGCAACUGCUGCUGUUGAGGAUGCGCACACAUUAACUGCACAAAUAUAAAUUUACUCAGACAAUUAGGGUGUAUAAUCACUGGAAGCCUGUGUUAUUGUUUCACAGAGAUUUAUGAGCUGUCAACACGCCACAGGAUGUAAUAAAAAAAAAUAAUUUCAGAAACCAUAA
Oreochromis niloticus (Nile tilapia) is the source of this 2884-nucleotide long non-coding RNA. RefSeq lists it as uncharacterized. The record is from RefSeq and is a predicted model, not a curated record. The transcript is spliced from 2 exons. NCBI's taxonomy places the organism in Eukaryota, Metazoa, Chordata, Actinopteri, Cichliformes, Cichlidae.